RNAcentral lists this ribosomal RNA (782 nucleotides) under Microbacterium sp. Its description in RNAcentral is "bacterial SSU rRNA". It matches the Rfam family "Bacterial small subunit ribosomal RNA", at positions 56 to 848 of the family's 1533-position model. Lineage: Bacteria; Bacillati; Actinomycetota; Actinomycetes; Micrococcales; Microbacteriaceae. The record is from RNAcentral.
UGCAGUCGAACGGUGAACACGGAGCUUGCUCUGUGGGAUCAGUGGCGAACGGGUGAGUAACACGUGAGCAACCUGCCCCUGACUCUGGGAUAAGCGCUGGAAACGGCGUCUAAUACUGGAUAUGUGACGUGACCGCAUGGUCUGCGUCUGGAAAGAAUUUCGGUUGGGGAUGGGCUCGCGGCCUAUCAGCUUGUUGGUGAGGUAAUGGCUCACCAAGGCGUCGACGGGUAGCCGGCCUGAGAGGGUGACCGGCCACACUGGGACUGAGACACGGCCCAGACUCCUACGGGAGGCAGCAGUGGGGAAUAUUGCACAAUGGGCGCAAGCCUGAUGCAGCAACGCCGCGUGAGGGACGACGGCCUUCGGGUUGUAAACCUCUUUUAGCAGGGAAGAAGCGAAAGUGACGGUACCUGCAGAAAAAGCGCCGGCUAACUACGUGCCAGCAGCCGCGGUAAUACGUAGGGCGCAAGCGUUAUCCGGAAUUAUUGGGCGUAAAGAGCUCGUAGGCGGUUUGUCGCGUCUGCUGUGAAAUCCGGAGGCUCAACCUCCGGCCUGCAGUGGGUACGGGCAGACUAGAGUGCGGUAGGGGAGAUUGGAAUUCCUGGUGUAGCGGUGGAAUGCGCAGAUAUCAGGAGGAACACCGAUGGCGAAGGCAGAUCUCUGGGCCGUAACUGACGCUGAGGAGCGAAAGGGUGGGGAGCAAACAGGCUUAGAUACCCUGGUAGUCCACCCCGUAAACGUUGGGAACUAGUUGUGGGGUCCAUUCCACGGAUUCCGUGACG